CUUCCGCUUGCGCUGUGAGCUGAGCCGGUGUAUGUGCGGCAAUAACAUGUCAACCCCGCUGCCCGCCAUCGUGCCCGCCGCCCGGAAGGCCACCGCUGCGGUGAUUUUCCUGCAUGGAUUGGGAGAUACUGGGCACGGAUGGGCAGAAGCCUUUGCAGGUAUCAGAAGUUCACAUAUCAAAUAUAUCUGCCCGCAUGCGCCUGUUAGGCCUGUUACAUUAAAUAUGAACAUGGCUAUGCCUUCAUGUAAAAGCUUUGAUUGAUCAAGAAGUGAAGAAUGGCAUUCCUUCUAACAGAAUUAUUUUGGGAGGGUUUUCUCAGGUAAGAUAAAAUUUGAGUGGAAUGUCAAUACCAUCAGUAUACUUAUCUAGAAGUCUGUGCAUUACUCCUUUCUAUAGAGUAGUCUUUUUUGAUGUUAUGGAAUCUUGACUGAUACACUUACCUUUAAUGUUUAAUUAAGUUUCAGUGUACUGGAACUAAUUAAUUUCUUCUUAGGAGGACUAUAAUACACAUGUACACGUUAUUAAAUUUCUAAGUUAACACAGUGUAUCCUUUUAAUUAAUUAAAACUCUGAUAACACAGGCAUGAGUCCCCUCUAUAGGAGGAGACUACUGAUAGGAACAGUAAAGUGGAAUAAAAGAGAAUUUCUUCCCUUUACCUUCACGUAUUACAGGUUUUAAGUAUGAAUAUGUGGUGUUUAUUUUUGGCAUUUUUCUUCAUCUCUGUACUUUUUCCCCUGCUUUCUGUACUCCCUCCACAGACAUAGCUUCCUCAUACGGACCUUUCAUGGCUACUGCAGCAUGUAAGCUGUUUGCCAUGGAACCAGUCCCCAGAUGCUCUAACUUCUCAUCUGUAAAUCUUCUAAGUAAGCAACUUAGUGUUUGGAUUACCUUAAUUAGGGAGAUGUUUGGAUUACCUUAAUUA
RNAcentral lists this small RNA (923 nucleotides) under Pongo abelii (Sumatran orangutan). RNAcentral describes it as "retained intron". Lineage: Eukaryota; Metazoa; Chordata; Mammalia; Primates; Hominidae. The record is from RNAcentral.